This 497-nucleotide ribosomal RNA is filed under the name uncultured bacterium. RNAcentral describes it as "partial 16S ribosomal RNA". It matches the Rfam family "Bacterial small subunit ribosomal RNA", at positions 28 to 507 of the family's 1533-position model. The record is from RNAcentral.
GAUGGACGCUGGCGGCGUGCCUAAUACAUGCAAGUCGAGCGAACGGACGCGAAGCUUGCUUCUCUGAUGUUAGCGGCGGACGGGUGAGUAACACGUGUAUAACCUACCUAUAAGACUGGGAUAACUUCGGGAAACCGGAGCUAAUACCGGAUAAUAUUUUGAACCGCAUGGUUCAAAAGUGAAUGACGGUCUUGCUGUCACUUAUAGAUGGAUCCGGGCUGCAUUGGAUAGUUGGUAAGGUAAAGGGCUACCAAGGCAACGAUGCAUAACCGACCUGUGAGGGUGGUCGGCGGCCCUAGAGGUGAGCCGCGGUCAAGGGUCCUACGGGAGGGAGCAGUAGGGAAUGUGACGCAGUGGGCGGAAGUAUGACGGAGCGGCGGCGCGUCAGAGAUGAAGGUCUUCGGAUCGUGAAACUCGGUUAUUAGGGGAAAACAGAUGUGUAAGGAGAUGAGGAGAUCGUGACGGUAACUAAUCAGAAAGCCACGGCUAACUACGUG